CACCGCCCGUCACACCACGAAAGUUGACUGCACCAGAAGUCUCUGUGCUAACCGCAAGGAGGCAGGAGCCCAAGGUUUGGUCAAUGAUUGGGGUG
RNAcentral lists this ribosomal RNA (95 nucleotides) under uncultured bacterium. Its description in RNAcentral is "partial 16S ribosomal RNA". It matches the Rfam family "Bacterial small subunit ribosomal RNA", at positions 1388 to 1482 of the family's 1533-position model. The record is from RNAcentral.